RNAcentral lists this ribosomal RNA (497 nucleotides) under uncultured bacterium. Its description in RNAcentral is "partial 16S ribosomal RNA". It matches the Rfam family "Bacterial small subunit ribosomal RNA", at positions 28 to 507 of the family's 1533-position model. The record is from RNAcentral.
GAUGAACGCUGGCGGAGUGCAUAAUAAAUGAAAGUAAAGCAAACAAAAAAGAAGAUAGAUAAUAUAAAGAUAAAGAAGAAAGAAAGAAAAAAAAAAAAAUAAAAAAAAAACAACAAUAGGACAACAUAGGGAAACCGGAGCUAAUACCGGAUAAUAUAUUGAACCGCAUGGUUCAAUAGUGAAAGACGGUUUUGCUGUCACUUAUAGAUGGAUCCGCGCUGCAUUAGCUAGUUGGUAAGGUAACGGCUUACCAAGGCAACGAUGCUUAGCCGACCGGAGAGGGUGAUCGGCCACACUGGAACUGAGACACGGUCCAGACUCCUACGGGAGGCAGCAGUAGGGAAUCUUCCGCAAUGGGCGAAAGCCUGACGGAGCAACGCCGCGUGAGUGAUGAAGGUCUUCGGAUCGUAAAACUCUGUUAUUAGGGAAGAACAAAUGUGUAAGUAACUAUGCACGUCUUGACGGUACCUAAUCAGAAAGCCACGGCUAACUACGUG